RNAcentral lists this ribosomal RNA (219 nucleotides) under uncultured Staphylococcus sp. RNAcentral's name for it is "partial 16S ribosomal RNA". It matches the Rfam family "Bacterial small subunit ribosomal RNA", at positions 121 to 334 of the family's 1533-position model. Lineage: Bacteria; Bacillati; Bacillota; Bacilli; Caryophanales; Staphylococcaceae. The record is from RNAcentral.
AUAACCUACCUAUAAGACUGGGAUAACUUCGGGAAACCGGAGCUAAUACCGGAUAAUAUUUUGAACCGCAUGGUUCAAAAGUGAAAGACGGUCUUGCUGUCACUUAUAGAUGGAUCCGCGCUGCAUUAGCUAGUUGGUAAGGUAACGGCAUACCAAGGCAACGAUGCAUAGCCGACCUGAGAGGGUGAUCGGCCACACUGGAACUGAGACACGGUCCAG